This 421-nucleotide ribosomal RNA is filed under the name Lautropia sp. oral taxon A94. RNAcentral describes it as "bacterial SSU rRNA". It matches the Rfam family "Bacterial small subunit ribosomal RNA", at positions 30 to 453 of the family's 1533-position model. The record is from RNAcentral. Lineage: Bacteria; Pseudomonadati; Pseudomonadota; Betaproteobacteria; Burkholderiales; Burkholderiaceae.
AUUGAACGCUGGCGGAAUGCUUUACACAUGCAAGUCGAGCGGCAGCGCGGGGCAACCUGGCGGCGAGCGGCGAACGGGUGAGUAAUACAUCGGAACGUGCCCAGACGUGGGGGAUAGCCCGGCGAAAGCCGGAUUAAUACCGCAUGAGAUCUAAGGAUGAAAGCAGGGGACCUUCGGGCCUUGCGCGUUUGGAGCGGCCGAUGGCAGAUUAGGUAGUUGGUGAGGUAAAGGCUUACCAAGCCUGCGAUCUGUAGCUGGUCUGAGAGGAUGAUCAGCCACACUGGGACUGAGACACGGCCCAGACUCCUACGGGAGGCAGCAGUGGGGAAUUUUGGACAAUGGGCGCAAGCCUGAUCCAGCCAUUCCGCGUGCAGGAUGAAGGCCCUCGGGUUGUAAACUGCUUUUGUACAGAACGAAAAGG